This 373-nucleotide ribosomal RNA is filed under the name uncultured eukaryote. Its description in RNAcentral is "partial 18S ribosomal RNA". It matches the Rfam family "Eukaryotic small subunit ribosomal RNA", at positions 592 to 976 of the family's 1831-position model. The record is from RNAcentral.
CAAUAGCGUAUACUAAUGUUGUUGCAGUUAAAAAGCUCGUAGUUGGAUUUCUGAAUGGAUGCCGAAGUCCGCCUGCUGGCGUGUGCUGAGGUGCCCGUUCAUCCUUCUGUCAAGGUUUCUUGGUAUUCAUUUACUGGUUUCCGGCUCAGAUAUUUUACCUUGAGUAAAUUAGAGUGUUUCAGGCAGGCUUGGACUGAAUACAUUAGCAUGGAAUAAUAGAAUAGGACUCAAAAUCCUUUGUUGGUUUCCGGAUUGUGAGUAAUGAUUAAUAGGGAUAGUUGGGGGCAUUAGUAUUUAAUUGUCAGAGGUGAAAUUCUUGGAUUUAUUAAAGACUAACUUAUGCGAAAGCAUUUGCCAAGGAUGUUUNCAUUAA